This 468-nucleotide ribosomal RNA is filed under the name uncultured bacterium. RNAcentral's name for it is "partial 16S ribosomal RNA". It matches the Rfam family "Bacterial small subunit ribosomal RNA", at positions 28 to 507 of the family's 1533-position model. The record is from RNAcentral.
GACGAACGCUGGCGGCGUGCUUAACACAUGCAAGUCGAACGGAAAGGCCCUGCUUUUGUGGGGUGCUCGAGUGGCGAACGGGUGAGUAACACGUGAGUAACCUGCCCUUGACUUUGGGAUAACUUCAGGAAACUGGGGCUAAUACCGGAUAGGAUCUCCUGCUGCAUGGUGGGGGUUGGAAAGUUUCGGCGGUUGGGGAUGGACUCGCGGCUUAUCAGCUUGUUGGUGGGGUAGUGGCUUACCAAGGCUUUGACGGGUAGCCGGCCUGAGAGGGUGACCGGCCACAUUGGGACUGAGAUACGGCCCAGACUCCUACGGGAGGCAGCAGUGGGGAAUAUUGCACAAUGGGCGGAAGCCUGAUGCAGAAACGCCGCGUGCGGAAUGACGGCCUUCGGGUUGUAAACCGCUUUCGCCUGUGACGAAGCGUGAGUGACGGUAAUGGGUAAAGAAGCACCGGCUAACUACGUG